This 4409-nucleotide long non-coding RNA is filed under the name Heterocephalus glaber (naked mole-rat). RNAcentral describes it as "lncRNA (ENSHGLG00000040109.1)". Lineage: Eukaryota; Metazoa; Chordata; Mammalia; Rodentia; Bathyergidae. The record is from RNAcentral.
UUUAUAACUGUAGGGAUUUCUGUUGUAUUCAUUUCAAGACUUUUUGUUUUCAUGAUGCCCUAAGUACAGAUACAUUCACUGUCCCAUGGCUUCUUAUCCCCCCUACCUGGGCACUGGAGAUGACAGUGACAGAAAGGUGGGCCCUGCAUUGUCAGUACUUCACCCAUGCAUACUGCACUACUAAGAAAGAAAUACUCGAGGUAAAAUCUGAAAAAAAGGAAAUUUUAGUGCUUCAUUUGAAUGCAUAUUGUUUUCAACUCAAUUUACAGUGAGCCUGAUAACCUUUUUACUGAUUAGUAAAGUCUUUUGAUAAAGUUUAGUGAUUUCGUAUUUUAGAAACAUUUGUUUGUUGAUUUGUUUUCCUUUAUUUCUUUUCAAGAUAGUAAAAGAUUUUGGCUCUUCAAUUUGAUAUUGUCCAUGAGCAGUCAAAUAACACCCAUAUAGUUUUCCUCUUUUAAAAAAAAAUCCUUCCAUCUUACCAUCAAGGAGUCUUUCUUCAUGAAAACCUUAUCUUUCUUUACUAAUGGCACUUGAGAGCUUUGAGGAAAUUCUCUCUGAACUUUGAGGAUAGAAUAGUUAAGAUAAAAACUAUUCCUUGAGGAAGAAACCCUCUUUUGUGCUGUAAUUUCCAUUUUUGCUUCAGUCUUUAAAAUAGUUACAAUUUCAAUUCAAUGAACAGAGAAAAACAAAGGGGACAGGACAAUGUGAUGGGAUUAAAUUUGAUACAGUCCUGGAUAGCGAAAGCUGGUUCUCAGGGUUACCAGAGGUUGGCACUGCUCUUCGCUUGUCAUUGUGACCCUUCUCUUGAUAUAAUUUUUCUAGGAAGUAGUAUAUUAACUAUCCUUCUUCGUGAUACAAGAUUUCUCUUAAUGCUAUCAGACUCAUCUAAAAAAUUGAUAGACAUCCGUGACGAUUUCUAUACCUAAUCUGUUCUCCAAGGCACGUGGGGAGCAUGCAGAAAUAACUAAAUAUAAUGGUUCAAAUUUGAGAUAAAAUUUUCCUACUGUAACCUCCAGUGCUUUGGGAAUGUUUAUAAUCAGAAGGAUCUUUGAAAACCAAAGCUAGCUCUACUCUUGGUCUCCUUAUAACAAUCCUUGAUUUAAAAUCAAGUGUAGAUUUGUAGGAGAAAUUUUUCAAAGGUAUUUCCAGCAGCUAAACUUCUCCUUAGUCCCAUUGAUUUAAACCUUCAUUUUCUGGAGGGCACUAUUGAGGUAUAUAUUCAGAAUAAUUUGCAUAUAUCUAAAAUUGAUUUUUUUACUACAUCAAAGAAUUGUGGUUUUAAGAAUAAAUGAAAGUAGGAUCUUGCUAAUCCUCAUCAUGACAAAUAAAGGUGAGAAGCUGAUGGUAGAGAAGAUUUAUGAUAACUUGACUUUAAAUUAAUUUGAUCGUGCUGACUCCACUGUUCCAAAUUCCUUUGUUUUCAUGAUCUUUUCUAAACUGGGUACUGAUUCUCCUGAAACUUCCAGCAUGCAUGUACGGCAGAGCAGAGAUGCAGGCUUACAUUUGCAGAGUAAUAAUCCAGACAAACUGGAGACAAAUUCUUGAGAGUUACCAAAUGCAAAAUGUUUCUCCAGAAUCGCUCAUAAUGCUACAUCCCAAACUAAUGCUAGAUUCAUCUUAAGCAAGAAGUAAAUUCCAUAAGGAAUCCUACCAUGAAUUUUUUAGAUAACUGAAUAAUACAAAAAGAGAAACAAUGCAGAAUCUUAAUUUUGAUAUAGUAAUUUACUUAUAUAUUUAAUAAUUGUACUUUUUGCAUGAGUGUCUCAUUGAGCUAUUUAUACCAAUUUUCAAUCCAUCUUUCUGAGAGUGGCCUUGAGAAUUUGUAUGUAUGUGUAUGUAUAUGUGUAUCUGUGUGUAGUCAGGAAAAAAAGUGAAUAAAGAGGAAUAAAGUGAGGUAAAAAGUGGUCAGUGUAGAAAAGUAAGCUCUCCUAGUGUACCUUUUUAUGUUAUGUAAGGUGGCAGCUGCUUGUAACCCUAGAGAAAUAGCUGUUUGCACUAUUCCUAAGAAGAGCCCAGCACUAUUAAAUUUAGGACCAUGUUUUAGAAAACAGGAAAGCUUUAUCUUUUUCUGUACACAUACUCCUUAGUAUCAGAGCCAUUUGAUAUGAUGAAAACUAUUAAAAACCACUACUGAUCUUUGCAUCAAAUAGCUAUUUUCCUCUUUUAAAUAAUAUCCCUGAUGUCAACUUGACUACUUCCCUUUAUUUUCUGCCUACUGGCUUAAUGUUUUACAGAGUAAUGCAUAGAUACAUGCUAGUUGUUUCUGUUCUUUGAGCUGAAACAAACAGGGACAACAAAAGAGAUGACUCACAGUAGUGUGAGGUGAAGACUGAAUUUUCCACUUUUGUAGCACUGGUAAGCAUUAGUAAGAUAAGAGCUGUUUAGGGUUCAGCUUUGAGUCUGUAAGAGGGCUUUUUUUGCACUAAGUAUGACUGCACUGCAUUGCACUACUGAAAUGUAUGUACUUGUGCUGGAAGGGAGUGUAUUAGAUAAAGGAAAGAAAGAGGCGAGUUAUGAAACUAGGACGUCACAGAAAUUAAGGGUUAUUUUCAUCAUGUUUUCUCUUAGCAGACUUGGUGAGAAUUUGUGGAAUCUUUGCCAACUUUCAAACCUAAAAAAUGCCAUGCUGAUAAAACCUGUCUUAUUGUAAAGAAGCUGGUUAAUACAAGUGGAGGACAUUUAAGAAGAAACUUAGCCAAUGUUUUUUCCAAGUGAGCUUUCAGUAAGAGUUAUAAUAAAGAGGAAGCCAACUGAUAAGAUGUGAAAGUCUUAACUGUCGAAACCCCCUGCUGGUGCACAUUUCAGCGUGACAAAGGACAGUGAGAAAAAAGCUAUUUAUGAAAUGUCAAAAACACUGGACUGUGAGUUUAAGUGUGGAAGCAUUUACCACCCUGUGUCUUCAACCAAUUAUGGGAAACCCCUUUUCUCUCCCCCUCUCCGCCGCCUUAGCCUUGCCAAAUGAGAAAACUAUAACAGCUCUCAGAUGAUUGAAGCCACCGAAGCUCUGCUUUAAUUCUUACGGUUUGAAAAAGUUGGAAAACCAAAGUUAAAUUUGUUUCUGAAAUCCCGCUGUCCAUAGCCCUUUUUUUGUAUGACACAGCCAGUUGGUGCUGCCUCUCCAUCUGGGAUUAUUGCCUUCUUAGGGACUGGGGCCAGGUCUGAUGCAAAGAGAGACAUGAGAGUGGUGAAGCUGAGAGCUGAGGUCUCAGGAAGUAACAUGUGAGUGGGACUCCAGCCUCUCAGGGGCAACCACAUUUCCCCAUCCCGAGGAGAAGCUGCCAAGAGAGCACAGUGCUACUAAAGCCUGACAGGAGCCAGCCUAUGUCUGGUCUCCUUCACCUUCUGCUUCUAAGACUCUUCUGUUACCAUGGCUCUCUAGAAUGGCUCUGCCUUUCUCAGCAGCCCACAUUCCUUGGAUGGGAGUGGGGCAAGGAUCCAAAUGACAGAAUGGCUGUGGGUGCUGUGGAGGCACCCCCAGCUCCCAGGGAGGUGAGGCAAGGGACCACUCAGCACAAGGGAUCUUGACCACCUCCUCUGAUUCAAUGGAUUAUCCAUCCAUCUGCUCACUGUGAAGAGGGAGAGGCAGUGUGCACCAAGGCUAUUCAAUAGCUUUUCCAUAUUUUUUCAACAAUGAAAAAAUAAUUUUUCAAAACUGUGAUAUUUUUUAAAAAAUCAUUUGGCUGGAGGGAAGGGAAAAGGGAAACACCAAAAGCUGUAACAUGAUUAACUGGAGAUAUGUAACUGGGGCACUUUCUAGACCAAGACAAAUGAAUUCCUUUCUGGACCUAAAGCAGCCAAAUCUUGAGACUGUCAAUGACAGAAAGCUGAAGAGAGGCUUCCAUUUCCUCCUUUCUCCUUUCUUCUCUCUGUCUCAAAAUUCUCUUGUCUCAAACUUCUUGUCUUCAAAAUUCUCCUUUCCAGGUUCCCUUGAUCUACUGCCCCAUUGGCCCUCAGCCUCCCACUUCAUCUGUACAACUACACACACACACACACACACACACACACACGCAAAAUACCAUUAUUUUAAGGAUUAUGGGACAGAAUAAAAUCAUGUGCCUUCAUUUUUUCUUUUUAUGGUUAGAUGAACCUCUUCCUUUUCACAAUGUUUAUUUUUUUAAAAGAUAGGAGAGGUUGAAGUGUUAGUGGAGGAGCUGGGCAUCAUCUGAGAAGUCAUGUUUGUUUAGCACAUUCCCCCUAAACAUUAAACACAAGCAUGUUAACCCCUUCACAAAACUAUCCGGACAUUUAGAGCAUCAAGUAACCAGAUACUGGACAGCCUAAAUCCAUUUGACUUUAGAGCAGUUCCUGAAAUUUCCAUUUCAUAGGCUUCUUUGAUUUUAUCAAAAUGAGGCGAGCAAGGGCAAGCUGCCUUGUUCUCCUGAUCUGGUGCUUUUGCUUGUAGUGGGGGG